CUGGUCUGGGCUGCCACCACCUGGGACCAUGUUGAUGCUCAAGGGCUGUACAGAGCUGGUUCUGCAUCUCACUGGCUUCCUGUACUCAGGAGAGUGGGCCCUGCACCCCUGGGCAGCAGAGUAGAGUUGGCCCUGGUGGCAGGGGUCAGGAGUGAGCUGGGCCUGAAAGGGUGAACACAGGACAGCUGAACCUGCCACCUGUGGUAGGGGCCAAUCCCAAAGCUGUAGGAUCGCCAUGACACAGAGCAACUGUGGGAUAUCAGAGAGGAGUGAGGAUCCAGUAUUGCUGGAGUAGCAGAAGCCAGAGGCCUCAAACCAGACCAGUGACUCACUGCAGUGAACAGGAUGUGUGGCCAAGAACAUUCUGUGAGACCCACUGUGACAUGCUACAACUUUCAUAUCACGAAACUUCAUUUUUAUAAGGAAAACAAAGCUGGAAGAAACAAUUUAAAAUUUAAAAAAAAAAAAAAAAAAGAAUAUAAGGCUGAAGAGAGACUGUAAAGGAGCCUGAGGCCUUGUUUCUUGCCCCACCCCUGCAGCACUCAGCAGACAGCCACCUCCCACAGGGAAGGGCCCUCGCUCAGGGGAAGGCGAGGGAGAACAGGGUGAAGAACUCCGGGAGGGGGGACCAGAGGAGGGGGCAACAUUUGGGAUAUAAAUAUAAUUAAUUUUAAAAAUUAAUAAUAAAAAAAGGCA
This 696-nucleotide long non-coding RNA is filed under the name Mus pahari (shrew mouse). RNAcentral's name for it is "lncRNA (MGP_PahariEiJ_G0005090.1)". Lineage: Eukaryota; Metazoa; Chordata; Mammalia; Rodentia; Muridae. The record is from RNAcentral.